CCCGAGUGGGUGUGAUCUCAGAGCCGGGAUGCGCUCUCGCGCCCGGAGUUCACACUGGGCCUCGACCAAAACCUCCAGAGCAGGCAAGCUGCCCUUUGGGCUACGCUAUUUAGGCAUGACUAAGAGAUAUUGUGAAAUUACAACCCAACAAUGCUUUGUGGGACAGGCGUUCCCACACCUAAGAAAUUGUCCAGCGUUGAACCAGCAUGUCUCAAAAUGGCAUCUGCGGAUGAACUGCAGGCGGCUGGAGACAGAUUUGCUGACCUCUAAUUGUCGAGGUCUCCCGCUGACGUCUGUGAGCUGUGCCUCAAAGACAGAAAGGAUCGGGCUCUGUGAUCUCUCUUCUGAAUGACAGCGACGCUGCCUGCCAGGAGGGGGCUGUCACUUCAGAUUCCACAGCAACUUGAGCAGCUGCAGCUGCUGCCUGAGGGAAAACCAGAUGCACCAAUAUUUUGAAUGUGCUGUCAGGUUUGCUAGGAAUGUACAGACUUGUUGCAGUUGUUUUGCAGGAUUCUGGUAUUUGAAAUCUGUCACAAAGCCAAUUCCAAUUGAGGUAAUAAUAUGAUAACUCUGAGACUAGGCGCCAUGUACUAAAUUUUACUUGAGGGUUCACACGUUCUUACCGACAAGUUCUACGAACCCCAUGUUAUAAAUAGGGAAAGUCCCCAGCACGUCUCAGGACACAUCGUAAAUCAGUUCUAUAAUUGGUAAUGUGGUGUCAUAUCUAUUCUCCAGGAACUUUCAACCAUUCUUGUACUAUGUAUAAUGUAUUCUUUUAUCCUGGAAAGGAUGGGGGCCGUUUAUUUCCACCUGGGAGUGAAGAAUUAUCAAGUUAAAAUCAAGGGCUCUAAACAAAUUUUAUUUGGAAUGAAGCAUUAUUAUUGUAAUUCAGAGACAGAAUUUAUAUUUUAUAUAUUCGUGUGUGAUCAUUAUUGGAUAUUCAAAUGGCACUCUUUCUCAAAUUCCCAUUCUUUGUCAAGAAGGCAGACUUUGUACUCUUCUGAUCAGAUUUUCUCUUUCUAUAGCCGUUUUCCACAAUUUGCUCUUUUUGUCACUUUAGAAAGUGUGAGCAUGCCAAUUUAAGAUUAUCUCACAGAGUUCACAGUUUUAAAAGCCGUAUUUCUUCCUUGAUCUUCCUUGACUAUCUUGAUUCUCAACCUAAAAUGAAAAUUUGAUCCUUUUGGAACUUAAUUGAAUGCUUUGAUCAUUAGGGAUUUUCACUAGGCAAAAAGCACAAGCAGGAGAGGCUAACAUCUUAAUGUGAUGAACUUCCACUGCAGAAGAUUAUACCUCUGAGGAAGAAGACAUGCCCUAUUGCACAAGCAGGGCUGUGGUUUGCCUUGUUUAUUCUGUGUCUCUGGCAUAUAGAACAGUGCUUGGCAUAAAGUAAUGAUGAUAUACUGUUUAUUGAAGGAAAGCAUGAAUGAAUGAAUAAGCAAUUGAAUAAAUCAAAGACUCUCAGGAGGAGCCUUUGAUGUUGUUAUGGGGAGAAAAAAGGAAGAAGACUGCAAAAACUCUUCUAACAUUUCUUCUCCUUGCCUUUAAUAACAUAAAUGUAUAUUGGAUGCAGUAGAGGGGCUAAGAGAAGGUCUCUGCCCUCAAGCCAUCUUCAUAGCAGCUACUGAUUCCAGUGGCAGCUUUCAGGUCCUCAGUCCUUCUAAUGUCCAAGAUAUACACUGUAACCAAGUAAAUGUUCCUGUAUGCUGUUCCCAAGAUUUAGAAAACAGGAACUUUGUGGUUUGCAUCAUCAUUUUUUUGAGGCUUCCUUCAGCUCUAAUUCCUUCCACAUAUUUAGUGUUCUAUUAGUAUUAUUGUUGAACUGAACUUUUAAAUUUCAAAAGCAUAUCUUAAAGACAGUUUCAUAUUUCCAGAUAAUAAAUAGCUUUUUCAUUACUUUUUGCUAAAUAGAGAUGCUUAGAGCAUUCCAAAAAGUUUCUUAAUCACUGAACUUCUUUGGCAUGGACAUUCAUCAUGUUCCCCCCACUUGCAUACUUACUUUGUCUCUCUACAUACUUGCCUUGUGUCUUUUUCUGACUUUCAGUUUUCUCCUGUAUAAAUUGUGGAUAAUAUUUACCUUUUGAAGAGUUAAUAAUAUUCAAGAGACCCCAUAUAAAAACACUGAAAAUUUCUGCAUAUUGUUAAGUAUUCUUCUCAAAAUUGCCAAUUAGCAGCAUCAGAUAGGAUUAUUAAUAUGGUCCUUAGGUGACACAGACAUUAGCAAUGAAUAAUACCUUGACUAUAUUCUCAAGUAGCCACAGAUCCAGCAGUUAAGUAAAUGAAUCAUAAUGCAACUGGAUGAUAAUAAGUGAAAAAAGUACUUAGGAACAUGGUGAUUAACUUCAUCAUGGAUACACCGGGAAGAUUUUAUAUAGAGAAUGGAAUUUUGAUUUCAGUCUUGAUGAAUGACUGUAAGUGUACCAAGCCAAGAGAAUUAAGAGGGUCAUUUUAGGCUGUAGAUGUUCAUAAAAUAGAAGUUCAGAGGGACCAGAACCUUCAGUGCGGGUUCAGCCAGAGUGGAGGUGGGAGGGAGGUGGUGAAGAAGUAGGGAAAGUUUGUUGAGACAGAUGUGAAGGAACUUGUAAGGGAAGCCAAGGAAUUCGAUUUAAUUUUUUGUAAUUAAAUCGAUGUUUUGGAAAAUUAACUCAGAAGUAGUGUGAAUGAUAGCAUAGUUAAAAAAGGUUAAAAGGAUAGAGUCUAGAGCUAGACAGCUUGAGUUAAAAUCUUGCCUCUGCUGUUUACUAGUUUAUGACAUUAGGGAAAGUCACUGCAACUCGAUGCCUCAGCUUUCCUGGAUGUAAAAUGGGGAUAGUGGAAAUAUAUACUUCAUAAGUGAUUGGGAGGUCCAAGGGAGUUAACCUAUGAUUAGAAUAGGGCCUGGCACAGAAUAAAUGUUGUAAUCAAGUGCUGGUUAAGUACCAUUAUAGUACUAUUUUAAGUACUAUAAAAUAGAAAGUGUGUAUUAUGGAGGCAAAAUCCAGAUGGGAGGUAGCUGAGGAUCAGGUCCUAGAUUUAGACAAUCAUUUCUGUGGAUUGCCUAAUGCAGAAGGAAAUUUUCUCUAAUCCAAAAUAAAGAGAAAUCCAAAUAAAACAACAACGUUUCUUGAAACAUAGGUGAGCUUGGAACCAUCAGCGAUUGGGAACAAAUACACAAAGUCACAAUGUAGUAUGUAAACCAGAUCUAGGUCCUAUCGCUGGGGACUGGGCCCAGCAAAAGGUGAAGAAGCCAGGCUUCAAGACAUAUGCACACAGAGAGCUGAAAUUAAGCUAUCUAUGUAAAGCUAGAACCAUUGAAGAGUUGCUCAAGCUAUGAAAAAUGGAACCAGAGAACUGGCCUGAGGGAUGUGACAAGAACAUUUUUAGUCUAUAGAGUUCCAUAGAUGGAAAAAGUGACAUGUGCAGAACAAAUAAGGAUGUUCCUAAUGAAUAUUACCUACAAUGUAUGGAGGUUUUAGAUCAAUAAAGUGAACGUAAAAGUGUUCAUGAACAACCCCUCCAUGUGCUAUAUAAGAAACACAGUUCAGAUUCAAUUCUGUAAGUAGUUUGAAAAUAAAAAUAUAGAAAUAUACCAUGCCAAUAUUAACUUUUUUAAAAGGGGGUUCUAUUCAUAUCUAUAAGGUACACUUAAGAGCAAUAAAAAUUGCUACAGAAAAGGAGGGACAUUACAUAAUGAUGAAAGGACAAACUCACCAAGAAGACAUAACAAACCUAAUUGGGUACAUACCAAACAACAUAAAGAAAAAAAAUAGAUAGAGCUGAAAAGGAAAGUAGGUGAAUUCAAAAUUAUAUUUAUCUAGGAUAUAUAUGCUCUGAAUAAUACAAUCAACAACAGAUCUAACUGACAUAUACAGAGCAUUUAUCUCAACAACAGUAGAAUUCACUUUUUUAAAAAAGCCUCCAUGGAAGAGUAGCCAAGAUAGACCAUACUUUGGGCUAUAACACAACAAAUUGAAAUCAUUUAGAGUAUAUUUUCUGGCCAUAAUUAAAUCAAACUAGAGAUCAAUGAUAGAAACAAUAGGAAUAUUUAUUAAACAUGUAAAUUAAACAACACAUUUCCAAAAAUCCACGGGCCAAAGAGCAAGUCUAGAUAAAGCAACAACCACAAAAAUAACAGAAUGAGAAUGAAAAUACAGUGUAUCAAAAGUCUGUGUAGGAAGUCAUUAAAGCAUUAAAGCAGAGAGAGAAAUCUGGAGCAUUAAAGGCUUACAUAAGGAAUGAAGAAAGUUUUCAAAUCAAUACUUUAUGUUUCUACAUCAAGAAACUAGAAGAAGAAAAGCAAAAUAAAUCCAAAGCAGCAGAAGAAAUAAGAUAAUACAGAGCAGAAAUCAAUAAAAUUGAAAACAGGAAACAAUAGAAAAAACUAAUGAAACAAAAAGCUGGUUUUUUAAAAACAAAAACAAAUUGAUAAACAUCUAGAAAGACUGAUAAAAAGAAAGAAUGUGGGAGUUGUCACUGUGGUGC
RNAcentral lists this long non-coding RNA (4458 nucleotides) under Sus scrofa (pig). Its description in RNAcentral is "lncRNA (ENSSSCG00050008119.1)". The record is from RNAcentral. Lineage: Eukaryota; Metazoa; Chordata; Mammalia; Artiodactyla; Suidae.